RNAcentral lists this ribosomal RNA (405 nucleotides) under Triticum aestivum (bread wheat). RNAcentral describes it as "partial small subunit ribosomal RNA". Lineage: Eukaryota; Viridiplantae; Streptophyta; Magnoliopsida; Poales; Poaceae. The record is from RNAcentral.
AUGCUCUGCCCCUACCUCGCUUUUGGCCACCUGCUUCCGUACCUAGAGCUCGCCGAGCGCCUGGCGCUGCCCGGCCACCUUGUGUCCUAUGUCUCCACCCCGCGCAACCUCGCCCGCCUCCCACCGCUGCGCCCCGCUGCGGCGCCGCACGUGGACCUCGUCGAGCUCCCCUUGCCGUGCGUCAACGACCUGCCCGACGGCGCGGAGUCCACCAACGAUGUCACCGCCACCGAUCAUGAGCUCCACUGGAAGGCUUUCGACGGCCUCGCCGCGCCCUUUGGGAGGUCUUGGCCGCUGCGUGCACCGACGAGGCCACGAGGCCUCACUGGAUCAUCGUUGACUGCUUCCACCACAGGGCCACCGCCGCCGCCCUCGAGCACAAGGUACCAUGUGCGGCGCUUCUGA